This 497-nucleotide ribosomal RNA is filed under the name uncultured bacterium. RNAcentral describes it as "partial 16S ribosomal RNA". It matches the Rfam family "Bacterial small subunit ribosomal RNA", at positions 28 to 507 of the family's 1533-position model. The record is from RNAcentral.
GAUGAACGCUGGCGGCGUGCCUAAUACAUGCAAGUCGAGCGAACAGACGAGGAGCUUGCUCCUCUGACGUUAGCGGCGGACGGGUGAGUAACACGUGGAUAACCUACCUAUAAGACUGGGAUAACUUCGGGAAACCGGAGCUAAUACCGGAUAACAUGUUGAACCGCAUGGUUCAACAGUGAAAGACGGUCUUGCUGUCACUUAUAGAUGGAUCCGCGCCGCAUUAGCUAGUUGGUAAGGUAACGGCUUACCAAGGCAACGAUGCGUAGCCGACCUGAGAGGGUGAUCGGCCACACUGUAACUGAGACACGGUCCAGACUCCUACGGGAGGCAGCAGUAGGGAAUCUUCCGCAAUGGGCGAAAGCCUGACGGAGCAACGCCGCGUGAGUGAAGGAGGUCUUCGGAUCGUAAAACUCUGUUAUUAGGGAAGAACAAAUGUGUAAGUAACUAUGCACGUCUUGACGGUACCUAAUCAGAAAGCCACGGCUAACUACGUG